CCUACGGGAGGCAGCAGUGGGGAAUAUUGCACAAUGGGGGAAACCCUGAUGCAGCGACGCCGCGUGAGUGAAGAAGUAAUUCGUUAUGUAAAGCUCUAUCAGCAGGGAAGAAAAUGACGGUACCUGAGUAAGAAGCCCCGGCUAACUACGUGCCAGCAGCCGCGGUAAUACGUCGGGGGCAAGGGUUAUCCGGAUUUACUGGGUGGAAAGGGAGCGUAGACGGCAGUGCAAGUCUGGAGUGAAAGGCGGGGGCUCAACCCCCGGACUGCUCUGGAAACUGUACGGCUGGAGUGCAGGAGAGGUAAGUGGAAUUCCUAGUGUAGCGGUGAAAUGCGUAGAUAUUAGGAGGAACACCAGUGGCGAAGGCGGCUUACUGGACUGUAACUGACGUUGAGGCUCGAAAGCGUGGGGAGCAAACAGGAUUAGAUACCCCGGUAGUC
This 440-nucleotide ribosomal RNA is filed under the name uncultured bacterium. RNAcentral describes it as "partial 16S ribosomal RNA". It matches the Rfam family "Bacterial small subunit ribosomal RNA", at positions 338 to 795 of the family's 1533-position model. The record is from RNAcentral.